CCUACGGGAGGCUGCAGUGGGGAAUAUUGCACAAUGGGGGAAACCCUGAUGCAGCGACGCCGCGUGAGUGAAGAAGUAUCUCGGUACGUAAAGCUCUAUCAGCAGGGAAGAAAAUGACGGUACCUGACUAAGAAGCCCCGGCUAACUCCGUGCCAGCAGCCGCGGUAAUACGUAGGGGGCAAGCGUUAUCCGGAUUUACUGGGGUGAAAGGGAGCGUAGACGGGAGCACAAGUCUGGAGUGAAAUCCCGGGGCUUAACCCCGGAACUGCUUUGGAAAUUGUGCGGCGGGAGUGCAGGAGGGGUAAGAGGAAUUCCUAGUGUAGCGGUGAAAUGCGUAGAUAUUAGGAGGAACACCGGUGGCGAAGGCGGCUUACUGGACUGUAACUGACGUUGAGGCUCGAAAGCGUGGGGAGCAAACAGGAUUAGAUACCCCAGUAGUC
Molecule: ribosomal RNA, 440 nt
Filed under: uncultured bacterium
Lineage: Bacteria
Description: partial 16S ribosomal RNA
Rfam family: Bacterial small subunit ribosomal RNA
Source: RNAcentral